UACGGAGGGGACUAGCGUUGUUCGGAAUUACUGGGCGUAAAGCGUGCGCAGGCGGUCUGUUAAGAGAGAUGUGAAAUCCCCGGGCUUAACCUGGGAACUGCGUUUCUAACUGGCAGGCUUGAGUGUGGCAGAGGGGGGUGGAAUUCCACGUGUAGCAGUGAAAUGCGUAGAGAUGUGGAGGAACACCGAUGGCGAAGGCAGCCCCCUGGGCUGACACUGACGCUCAGGCACGAAAGCGUGGGGAGCAAACAGG
Molecule: ribosomal RNA, 253 nt
Filed under: uncultured bacterium
Lineage: Bacteria
Description: partial 16S ribosomal RNA
Rfam family: Bacterial small subunit ribosomal RNA
Source: RNAcentral